This is a long non-coding RNA of Sinocyclocheilus rhinocerous, 266 nucleotides long. RefSeq lists it as uncharacterized. The record is from RefSeq and is a predicted model, not a curated record. The transcript has 3 exons. NCBI's taxonomy places the organism in Eukaryota, Metazoa, Chordata, Actinopteri, Cypriniformes, Cyprinidae.
UGUCUCCACAGGCGGACAUUAAGAUCCCGGGGCUUCCUCUGAAGAUCGUGAUGGAGGCCAUACAGCAGGCCACAGUGGCCAAACGGGAGAUCUUAGGCAUCAUGAACAAGGUCAUCUCCAAACCCAGGAGCUCCAGGAAGGAGAACGGCCCGCUCGUUGAGAACGUCAAAGUGCCUCUAUCUAGACGAGCUCUGUUUGUGGGUCCGGGAGGAUUCAAUCUGCGCAGACUGCAGGCUCAGACAGGUGUGUGAUUGUGAGUGUGUGCG